CGCGCGCCCACCGCCGGCUGCCUGCCGCACGCCGCCGCCCGCCCGCCGCUGCCGCGGCUUGCCCCCGCCCGUGCACGGAUCUCGGCACUCGGACCGCGCAGCGCGGCCUUCAUCCUCCUAGUCGUGGGUCCCCGCCUCCCCUGCUCGCCCGCCUCCGCGGCCGUCCGUGGCUCUCCCCAGCUCGCCGGCCGCCGGCGGCCUGAAGGGAGCCUGGACGUCGCGCCUGCGCCCCCAUCACCCCCUCCCCGGCGGCAGCGCCUGCGCAGAUCUAUGCGGGUCGUGCAGGGUCUGCUGCCCUCCUGUCCGCAACGGAGGCAGCACGGCAACGAUUGGCUCCACAAGCUGAGGAUCUCCUUUCUCUCCUCUUUUUAUUUGUUCAUUCUAAUAUUUGCUUAACUCAUGGAGUGAAUCACCCUUAAUUUCAUAAGACUAGAUCUAAUUCCUGACUUUUUCAAUAGCUACCAGUUCAUAGUUUUGGAGCUUCACUUUAUUUUCACAUGCUAGAUUGGUCUUGGUCUGGUUGCAAUCGAUGGUAUUUCUCUGCAAUAGUAUAAGGCUGCAAGCAGAAUGAUAUGUUGAAAUAGUUUGGUCUGUUUAACUAAAGAAAGCUCUAUUUUGCGUGACAGUACCGUGAUGCAGUUUUAUUUCAGAGUAGCAGAGGGUGCUUUUCUCCUGUCUUGCAAAGUCCUUUGAUAGAUACGAUUUUAUACAGUACUAUAAUGUAUAAGUUGCCAUUUGGUUAGACUACUCUAACAGAUGCGGUUAGCCAUGUAAAAUGUCAGUUCCAUGCUGCAACAUCGAUAGUUUUCAGUAGCUGGUUUGCUACUAUAGGUUUUUAUUUGAUCGUGAUACUCUCAUUUUAGGCCCUGUUUAGUCCCCCACCCAAAAAAUUUUAGGCCUUAGAAUUCAGACCGUAGCCCUUUUAUUUGAUCAACUCUUAACUUGGCACAUGUUUGUUCAUAACUGAUUGAUAUGAGUCUGAGAUUUAGGCCUUGUUCAGUUCGCAAAAAGUGUGGUUUUUGGCUACUGUAGCACUUACGUUUUUAUUUGAAAAACAUUGUCCAAUCACGGAGUAAUUAGGCUCAAAAGAUUCAUCUCACAAAUUACAGGUAAACUGUGCAAUUAGUUUUUAUUUUCGUUUAUAUUUAAUACUCCAUGCAUAAGACCAAAGAUUCGAUGUGACGGAGAAUCUUGAAAAUUUUUGCGAACUAAACAAGGCCUUAGUACAGAGCUAGUCUAUGAGUUCAGCUAUAUUUUUUUAUGCAAGUCUAUGUAUUCUGUUUGUCCUAUACCGUGUUUUCUUUAUCUUUUUUACCUCAACAGAUGAUGCCUCAUGUAGAGAGAACCAAAUGAUUGUUCAAGUGAAUACAGAUGAUGAACUAAAUGUAUGACGCAACUCUCAGGUGUCCGAUUUUGAGUUACCUGUUUUACUAGCAUCAAUCGGGGGCGGCUUCGAACCAUGUCGAAGGGUCACCGGCAUCAUACAUCGGGUCAUCCCUACCUGGACCGUGGUCAGGAUCGCACGCUGGAGCGUCCCAACCCUCGCCGGCAUCGCAUACUAGACCAUCGCCGUAAGCCGUCUUCGGAGUUAUUUUUAUGUAUUAAACUUGUGAACUUGAAAUAAUGUGUAAUUUUGAACGUGUGGUUUGUAAUAUAUCGUGGAUUUUGUAUAAAUUUGUUCGUUUGUGAUAUAUAAAUGUAGCUUGUGAUAUAUUA
Sorghum bicolor (sorghum) is the source of this 1716-nucleotide long non-coding RNA. RefSeq lists it as uncharacterized. The record is from RefSeq and is a predicted model, not a curated record. Lineage: Eukaryota; Viridiplantae; Streptophyta; Magnoliopsida; Poales; Poaceae. The transcript has 2 exons.